AGAUUAAGUUAUUAAGGGCGCACGGUGGAUGCCUUGGCACUAGAAGCCGAUGAAGGACGUUACUAACGACGAUAUGCUUUGGGAGCUGUAAGUAAGCUUUGAUCCAGAGAUUUCCGAAUGGGGAAACCCAGCAUGAGUUAUGUCAUGUUAUCGAUAUGUGAAUACAUAGCAUAUCAGAAGGCACACCCGGAGAACUGAAACAUCUUAGUACCCGGAGGAAGAGAAAGAAAAUUCGAUUCCCUUAGUAGCGGCGAGCGAAACGGGAAGAGCCCAAACCAACAAGCUUGCUUGUUGGGUUGUAGGACACUAUACGGAGUUACAAAGGACGACAUUAGACGAAUCAUCUGGAAAGAUGAAUCAAAGAAGGUAAUAAUCCUGUAGUCGAAAAUGUUGUCUCUCUUGAGUGGAUCCUGAGUACGACGGAGCACGUGAAAUUCCGUCGGAAUCUGGGAGGACCAUCCUAAGGCUAAAUACUCUCUAGUGACCGAUAGUGAACCAGUACCGUGAGGGAAAGGUGAAAAGCACCCCGGAAGGAGAGUGAAAUAGAACCUGAAACCGUGUGCUUACAAGUAGUCAGAGCCCGUUAAUGGGUGAUGGCGUGCCUUUUGUAGAAUGAACCGGCGAGUUACGAUUUGAUGCAAGGUUAAGCAGUAAAUGUGGAGCCGUAGCGAAAGCGAGUCUGAAUAGGGCGUUUAGUAUUUGGUCGUAGACCCGAAACCAGGUGAUCUACCCUUGGUCAGGUUGAAGUUCAGGUAACACUGAAUGGACCGAACCGACUUACGUUGAAAAGUGAGCGGAUGAACUGAGGGUAGCGGAGAAAUUCCAAUCGAACCUGGAGAUAGCUGGUUCUCUCCGAAAUAGCUUUAGGGCUAGCCUCAAGUGAUGAUUAUUGGAGGUAGAGCACUGUUUGGACGAGGGCCCCUCUCGGGUUACCGAAUUCAGACAAACUCCGAAUGCCAAUUAAUUUAACUUGGGAGUCAGAACAUGGGGAUAAGGUCCGUGUUCGAAAGGGAAACAGCCAGACCACCAGCUAAGGUCCCAAAAUAUAUGUUAAGUGGAAAAGGAUGUGGCGUUGCCCAGACAACUAGGAUGUUGGCUUAGAAGCAGCCAUCAUUUAAAGAGUGCGUAAUAGCUCACUAGUCGAGUGACACUGCGCCGAAAAUGUACCGGGGCUAAACAUAUUACCGAAGCUGUGGAUUGUCCUUUGGACAAUGGUAGGAGAGCGUUCUAAGGGCGUUGAAGCAUGAUCGUAAGGACAUGUGGAGCGCUUAGAAGUGAGAAUGCCGGUGUGAG
RNAcentral lists this ribosomal RNA (1293 nucleotides) under Staphylococcus aureus. RNAcentral's name for it is "bacterial LSU rRNA". It matches the Rfam family "Bacterial large subunit ribosomal RNA", at positions 1 to 1306 of the family's 2925-position model. Lineage: Bacteria; Bacillati; Bacillota; Bacilli; Caryophanales; Staphylococcaceae. The record is from RNAcentral.